RNAcentral lists this non-coding RNA (19 nucleotides) under Arabidopsis thaliana (thale cress). RNAcentral also lists the same sequence under 1 other name. Lineage: Eukaryota; Viridiplantae; Streptophyta; Magnoliopsida; Brassicales; Brassicaceae. The record is from RNAcentral.
UAACAACUCACCUGCCGAA